RNAcentral lists this long non-coding RNA (1817 nucleotides) under Bos grunniens (domestic yak). Its description in RNAcentral is "lncRNA (ENSBGRG00000015823.1)". Lineage: Eukaryota; Metazoa; Chordata; Mammalia; Artiodactyla; Bovidae. The record is from RNAcentral.
GAGCAAAGCAAAUGAAUUCAUCCUGAUCUUUCCUACUAUGCAGGCUCAGAAACAGACAUACAAUGUGAUUAAUCAUAUUUCUAAAUUGGUUCUCAACAAUAGUUUGGACAUGUAAUCAACACAGGUGAUAAUGCAAACUCACAGCAAGAAAUGUGCAUCGUCAUUUAUCAGUUAGUAAAAAAUAAAGCAAUUUCUGAAUAUUCCAUUUAAAGGAAAUCUUCUUCAAAUCAGCUAACAUUUAAAUAAUGUAAAACGUCUGCAGUGAAUUUCUGUGGUUUUGGUAAGCUCAAAUUCCCUUCCCUCUCUUCCAGCAAGUAUCCCAUCUCUUCCUUUAUGACAGGGGAUGAGAUGAUUGGUUGGAUAGCAUCACUAACUCCAAGGAUAUGAAUUUGAGCCAAGUGCAGGAGAUAGUGAAGGACAGGGAAGCCUGGCGUGCUGCAGUCCUUGCUUUUGCAAAGAGUCAGACGCAUACAGCUAAGUGACUAAGCAACAGCAACCACCCCUGUCACCUCUGGAGGAGUUGGUGGGCACAUGGCCGUGAUCUCAGGGAGAAACACCAUCUAGAGCAGGUCAAUUAGAACAACUCACUAGUCAGACAUUGUCAAGAAUCCCAACAAUGGCCACAGAACCUCUGAUCCUUCUCUUGGGACUUUUCACUUGCAGAUCGGGGAGAAACUGUCUUAUUUCUCCUUUGCAGUUGUUGACUCAGGAUGGUUCCAGGUUGCAGCUCCCCGGUCCGUGUGUUUUCCAUGUGACAAGAACUUCACGGAGAAAGAGGAUGCUGUCUUUUAGAAAUGUCUGGGUGACGUCAACAUUCCUUUUCAAGUUGCAGAACUUCCCAUCUUCCACCUACUUGAGUAAAAAAAGGAAAGAACACCUAUCAAAGGGGAGAGAUCCUAGAUUCAACUUAACAACAAUAGUGUAACAGAGUUUCUGAAGCACGAGAUCCCAAUAUACCAUGAAUAAAUUUGUUUCUAAGUGUAGGAAACUGUUUUCUCCUCUCUCAAUUUCAGUCAAGUUUCUUCUUUCAACCUCCAUCUCCUUUUCUUUGUCUCCAUUUCUAUUGAUGUUCCUGGUUUCCAUCUCUGGGUCGGGAAGAUCUCCUGGACAAGGAAAUGGCAACCCACUCCAGUAUUCUUGCCUGGAGAAUCCCAUGGACAGAGAAGCCUGACGGGCUACAGUGCAUGGGGUCGCAAAGAGUUGGACCCAAUUGAGCAUGCACUCACAUUACUUCUUCUUUAAUUCUCUUAAAAGAAACAUCAGCUCAUAUUCAUUAUUAUUGGUCGCAUUCUGACUCUGGUUUUUAAAACCAUAAAGCCUUCUAUGCAGAAAAGUCUCUGUUGAAAAUUCCAAGCUGUUUUAAAAAGACGACAAUUAAAGUUAGUUUCUUCAGGGGAAGAAGAUUAAAAGCAUGGACACUACUUCACUGAGCCAAUUAUUCUCUUGACACAAUUUAAUUAUCUAGUGCAACAAACCAGACACCUUUUCUGCCUGGCCAUUUUAAUGGAGUUUUGACACCAGGAAUUUAAUUAAGUUAGAAGAUCCCAAAAAAACCCUUAGAAGUCAGACAAUCUCUUUCUGGAGCAUUGAGCAUAAAAAAAUUCAUCACUUACGAGCAACAUUAUUAAAUGAGGUUUAUUACUCUAUCCGUGGACUAAACCUUAUUUCUGAUGGGAAUGCAGCUAUUUUAGUUAUCAUUUUAACUAUUUAAAGGGUUGUUGUUGUUGUUGUUUUUAAGAUUCUAAAGGUUACCAGGAAGAGCACUUGAGGAUUAAAAACAAAACAAAUAACAAGCAAUUAUUUAUCCACAUACAAGA